Molecule: non-coding RNA, 123 nt
Organism: Caenorhabditis elegans
Lineage: Eukaryota; Metazoa; Nematoda; Chromadorea; Rhabditida; Rhabditidae
Source: Ensembl
UGACUAUAAAUGGAAUGAUGAAGAAUAUUUGCUUAUCCAGGUGAAUCAUGGAACAGGACUGGCACGAAUUGACUGAGGAAACAUCGUGUCUGUCGGUACCGAGUUUAUUUCAUGAUGAGUUAU